GUGUAAUUACCAGUCUUGCCUCCCCACAAAGUCUGUAGGUUUGUGCUGUGUUUGUAUGUGUGAUCUGAGCGCCAUCCGGUGGACAGACGACAUUUUUAUUUGAUACUCGCGCCAUUUUUGCGUUGAGUAUGGGCGCAACCAAGUGCAUAAUUGGAGGGGGGCACUCACCCAUUUUCCUUAACAAACGGAAAUAUAUUAAAAACGAGUAGACGUAAAUAAAUAGAAUAGAUGAAAAGACAGAUCAGUUUGCAAGGUUCAUUAAAGGGGGACAUAUAGAAAACAUUUUCUACUGUAUAUUGGGAGGGAAAGAUUGGUAUCACCUCAACAUUGGCGGGGACACGCCCCCCCAAAAGAAUACGUGGUUACGCCCAUAGUUGUAGGAGACACAGCAGCGACGGAGUCGGAGUAGGAGACACAUUUUUCCUCAGGAGUCACGACACAGCAGACACGGGGUUUUCUUUCUUCAAUUUUAACUUUUCUCAGGAGUUUAAGGCCGACGUUUCUGCAGACAUCAUGGCUGGAAAUGCACAGCAGGGCAACCAACAGGCUGUACCACAAGACGUGGUGGCGAGACGAGCGUCCCUGCAGACUUUAAUUGAUGAUGCAUUGCAGGAGCUUCAGAACGUUGUCCAACUGUUGAUGUGGAAGUCACACUUAGGGAAGUUAAGGUGGGCAUCCUGACUGUGAGUGAUGAUACCAGACAUGAUGGUUUCGUCCCAGCUGAUGUCCUGAAUGUUGCUGUGAUACUGGAAGGGGAGAUGUUCCUAAUGCUCUUGCUAUACUGCUUGGACUACUCUAUGUUCUGAACAUUAACUAUCCCAAAGAACUAUGAUAUACCUUUUGAGGUACUUCAGAGAAUUUUCAUGAAAAUUGGCGAGCUGCACAGCAAGAGUUCACAAUCUAAAAAAUAAAUUAAUGCAGUGAUGUAAAAAUGGUG
Long non-coding RNA from Ictalurus punctatus (channel catfish), 937 nucleotides. NCBI's taxonomy places the organism in Eukaryota, Metazoa, Chordata, Actinopteri, Siluriformes, Ictaluridae. The record is from Ensembl.